RNAcentral lists this long non-coding RNA (404 nucleotides) under Brassica napus (rape). RNAcentral's name for it is "long non-coding RNA (BNAP_LNC011576)". The record is from RNAcentral. Lineage: Eukaryota; Viridiplantae; Streptophyta; Magnoliopsida; Brassicales; Brassicaceae.
AAACUCAUGAUAAAUCCCAACUAAGAGAUUCCCAUAAUCGGAAUCCAAUGAAUCGACCCAGAUCAUAUGGAUCCCGAUCAUGAUCAGUCCGGCCAAGGCCAUGGACAUCACCCCUGAACCGGCCAAGGCCAUGGUUCAGUGCUAUCAAGUAUUAAGCGUAUGCUCCCCUGGAGCCAAGUCCUCUCAUGGACUAAUAAUGCCCAUCGGAUCCUAAGUCAAUCAACCAACCACCCCACAUGACUCAGAACUGAUGAAUCUUCACACUUACCUAACCGGCCAUGGAACCAUGUCCCACUGAACCCGAUCAAUCUUGCUCUUACAACCGGUGCAUCCCUUAAUCAAUCAGAUCAGACACCUUGAUCCAUCACCUAUGGAUCAGGUCAUCCAUCCUUGCCCAAGAUCAG